Long non-coding RNA from Drosophila navojoa, 553 nucleotides. Lineage: Eukaryota; Metazoa; Arthropoda; Insecta; Diptera; Drosophilidae. The record is from RefSeq and is a predicted model, not a curated record.
AUAACAACAAUCGCAGCGGCUCAGUUAGUUUUUUACUUUUGAACUGAAAGGUUGGUCGGCCAGCGGCGCCAAAGUAGAGGAAACAGAUGCAAUAGCAAUAGAAAAGUCAGAGGCGACAACUCGGAACGCAGCGAGAGUGACGGCCUCAGUGUGUGUGAAACAAACUUACCCGCCUGCUGAGAUACUACAAGUAAACAUACAAAUUGCUAUAUACAUACAUACAUGCCACCACUGGUCGUCGUAUCGUGGUCGUGUCGUAUCGUCGGCUCGACUGUCGGUCGGUCGUUUGCGCCAUCGUCACCGUCGACCCCGCCGUCGUCAUCACGGUCGACUGUCAGUCAGUCGGUCGGCGAGUGGAUUGGUUGAGCUUGUUGGUUAUUUUCAAAUACAAAUGUCAGCUGUUUCAAGCAACAUGUACUAUAAAAGCGGAACAGUGAAACGCAGAAAAAGAGCAAAUCGCUUAAGUCCAGGACAACAGGAGGAAGAAGCAAGCUGCUAGCAACCGCUACGAAGGAGCAGCAGCAAUAUUUUGAAGAGAGCUGUGCAAAAAAAC